GUCUGGCAGUAGAAACCAAUUGGUGAUGCAGAUGGCGUGUGUUGAGGAGGGCACAGAGUUUUGUUCCAGUAGCCGUCGAUGCGGUGACCUAGAGGAUGCUGAACUUCUGUUGUGCCACGGGGGGUCCUUAGAACAUGGACUGGGAAGAUGGGGUCCUUGUCAGCAUGUCUACAUCAUUGAGGAGCCGUGUGUUUCAGGAAGCGUCUGCCACUGCUGAGGUCCAUUGUGGACCGGGCUGCACUGCUUUUGGAUGUGGCAUGAGUCAAACUGUCAUAAAUCUCAUAAAUCGGAUGACUAAGUCGUUUCUGCCCACCGACAGGCCUGCUAAAAGGGCGUGUGAUGCAGCUAUAGUCGCUACGAAGACCUUGAGCGUGGAGGGAGAUCAUCCCUUCUCCAAGAGCUCUUGCAAAAAUGACAGUAUCACUUAUACAUCACAGGAGGGUUUUCGCCAUGGUCUGAGCACCCGUGGAGAAAACAGACCAUUUGGAGGCAUAGAGGCAUCGUGUAGACUGAGCUCUAGCCUGUGAAAUUAGAGUAGAACGGGGGCGGUUCGCUGACGAGGGGCUUGCUGGCGCCCCGGCAGAAACCAUUCAUCCAGGCGGCUACGGGAUGGUUCCUCUGGAGGAGACCAUUCCAGACCCAGCUCAUCCACUGCCCUGGAGAGAACGCGGAUAAGUUCGGCGUCCAUCCCGGGUUUCGUGAGGCUAGGUUCAGCCUCAUCAAGAAAGGUGAGGACUCGUUCGAGCUGCAGGCCGUGGAGAAGCAGAUUCGGGACCUGGAGGUGAGGCAGGCCCAGCUGAGAGAGUGGAGAGCCGCGCUGAAAACCUCCCGGGCUGACGCUCACAAGUCCGGGGUAAGUAUACAGUGCGCUACUAACAAUCCCACCACCUCUGCUCCGUGUGUUACUCUGCACAGGCCCGGUGCACCCAGGAUGCGAUCUUCCCAGAUGUCCUUCACUCCGGCGCUGGGACACCAUGGACCCUGGGUGCAUCCACAUUGGAGGACGCGAGCCAGGCCCCGGGCAACAACUUCACCCCCUCCAGUCUAAGAGAUCUCCACCCGGAACCACUUCGCUCCCCUCCGCAAGACGAUACCUGCGAUCCUGAAGGCUGACGAGAGCCCCAGAGCUUUCGUGCUUCACGCCGGGGUCAAUGACACCACGCUGUGGAAGACGGAGACGCUGAAGAGGGACUUCAGGAGCCUGACCGAGAUGGUUCACAGCACGACACCCGCGACAACGAUCAUCGUGUCAGGACCACUGCCCACGUAUUGACGAGGACACGAAAGGUUCAGUAGACUUGAGUGAAUGAAUGGUUAUUGUCAAUAAAUAUUAGAUCACUCACACCCAAAGCAGUUAUUGUAAAUGAAAUGAUCACAGAUAAUAGUUUUGAUGUACUCUACUUGACCUAAACCUGGCUAAAACCAUACGAUUACAUUGGUCUAAACGAGUCAACUCCACCAAACUACUGUUAUAAGCAUGAGACCCGUCAGACUGGUCGUGGCGGAGGUGUUGCAACAAUAUAUGGCAAUAUUCUCAAUUUUACCCAAAAAAAACAGGAUACAGAUUUAACUCAUUUGAAAUACUUCUGCUUAAUGUUACUCUGUCAGACAUGCAAAAGAAAUCUAAUGUAUCUCUUGCUCUGGCUACUGUGUAUAGACCACCAGGGCCGUAUACAGAAUUCCUACAAGAAUUCGCAGAUUUCUUCUUAGACCUGGUUAAAGUUGAUAAAGCGCUAAUCAUGGGAGAUUUUAAUAUUCACGUUGAUAAUACAAAUGAUAAAUUAAGGCCUGACCUAAUAAACUCUUUUGGAGUUAUGCAAAAUGUCACCGUUACCGUCUGGGCAGAACUAUUGUUCCAGCAACCCAAAGAUAAACUGCAGUGCUUUACAACUAUAGGACAGGAAGAGCUAAAUACACUUAUCACUGCAUCUAAACCAACAACAUGUUUCUUAGAUCCUGUAACCACUAAAUUACUAAGAGUUGUUACCUGUAGCCAAAGAAACGCUUCUCAAUAUUAUUAACUCGUCGUUAUCUUCAGGUCACGUCCCAAAACCAUUUAAGCUGGCUGUUAUUAAGCCUCUUAUAAAGAAACCUCCUAGUAAACUAGCAAAUUAUAGGCCUAUUUCAAAUCUUUCAUUUGUCAAAAACUGUAAAAAAAAAAGUUGUCAGCUCAAUAGAGCUCCUUCCUGCAAAAAACUGUAUGACGAAUUUCAGUC
Molecule: long non-coding RNA, 2216 nt
Organism: Carassius auratus (goldfish)
Lineage: Eukaryota; Metazoa; Chordata; Actinopteri; Cypriniformes; Cyprinidae
Exons: 3
Source: RefSeq, a predicted model, not a curated record